RNAcentral lists this ribosomal RNA (253 nucleotides) under uncultured bacterium. RNAcentral describes it as "partial 16S ribosomal RNA". It matches the Rfam family "Bacterial small subunit ribosomal RNA", at positions 524 to 776 of the family's 1533-position model. The record is from RNAcentral.
UACGUAGGGGGCAAGCGUUGUCCGGAAUCAUUGGGCGUAAAGCGCGUGUAGGCGGCUGAGUAAGUCUGCUCUGAAAGCCCGGGGCUCAACCCCGGGAGGCGGGUGGAUACUGCUGAGCUCGAGUCCGGAAGAGGAGUGUGGAAUUCCUGGUGUAGCGGUGAAAUGCGCAGAUAUCAGGAGGAACACCAAUGGCGAAGGCAGCACUCUGGGAAGGUACUGACGCUGAGACGCGAAAGCGUGGGGAGCAAACAGG